UGGGGAAUUUUGGACAAUGGGCGCAAGCCUGAUCCAGCCAUGCCGCGUGAGUGAAGAAGGCCUUCGGGUUGUAAAGCUCUUUCGGACGGAAAGAAAUCUCUCAGGAUAAUACCUUGGGAGGACGACGGUACCGUAAGAAGAAGCACCGGUUAACUACGUGCCCGCAGCCGCGGUAAUACGUAGGGUGCGAGCGUUAAUCGGAAUUACUGGGCGUAAAGCGUGCGCAGGCGGUGAUGUAAGACAGAUGUGAAAUCCCCGGGCUCAACCUGGGAACUGCGUAUGUGACUGCAUCACUCGAGUACGGCAGAGGGAGGUGGAAUUCCGCGUGUAGCAGUGAAAUGCGUAGAUAUGCGGAGGAACACCGAUGGCGAAGGCAGCCUCCUGGGCCAGUACUGACGCUCAUGCACGAAAGCGCGGGGAGCAAACA
RNAcentral lists this ribosomal RNA (427 nucleotides) under uncultured bacterium. Its description in RNAcentral is "bacterial SSU rRNA". It matches the Rfam family "Bacterial small subunit ribosomal RNA", at positions 355 to 774 of the family's 1533-position model. The record is from RNAcentral.